RNAcentral lists this ribosomal RNA (333 nucleotides) under uncultured Glomeromycotina. RNAcentral describes it as "eukaryotic LSU rRNA". Lineage: Eukaryota; Fungi; Glomeromycota. The record is from RNAcentral.
UAUCAGCCUUUUGGGCAUGAUUCUGUGGAGCGUGAGGAGUUAAACGCCUUCAUGCCUGCAUAUUCGUGUACUUUGGGUGUACUUGUCCGUGUGGUUAGUUAACAUCAAUUUUGGUUAUCAUAAAAUGGCUGGAGGAAUGUAGCUUCGAUUUCGAUUGAAGUGUUAUAGCCUUCGGCAGACGUGAUGAUCGGGAUUGAGGAUUGCAACGGAUACCCUUCGGGGCUACCUGUCUGAUCUCUGAUCGUUGCUCUGGUGCCGAAAGCGUGCUUACGGUUAUCAAAGUCGAUGGUUAAUAGGUUAGAACGGGUUAAAUUCGUUAAGGAUGUUGACGUA